UUAAUUCUUCCAUAAAGUAGAGAACUUUUACUUCUAACUUCUAAGGAGGGUUUUAGAUGCUUAGCUUCGAUGUCGGUUAUAGGAUCCGUUUACAGAAAUAGAGGGUAAGUGAGUGUCUGUUCUAUUUGUUUUGGAUGGCAAUUUAGCUUAAGAGACAAACAGUCGGGGGAGGGCAAGAUGGUUGCUCCAUAUAUUGACUCCUUUACCUGCAUUUAUACUGUUGUGCUAACAUUUUUUCAUUUUCUGUUAUGUAGCUGAAGCAGCUUGAGUGUUUUAAUCAGUUGUAUAUAUCACCCAGUUUACCCGUUCCUACUGCUGCUCAACAGGGACAAGUUUCACAGCAGGUGCUGUUUCAGAUUUUGUGUAUCUCAUUUUGGAAGUGAUUCAUAGGUGCUCUGUAAAGAAAAACAUGACUGGAGGAAUCAUUCCCAGAUCA
This is a non-coding RNA of Malus domestica (apple), 436 nucleotides long. The record is from RefSeq and is a predicted model, not a curated record. Lineage: Eukaryota; Viridiplantae; Streptophyta; Magnoliopsida; Rosales; Rosaceae.